This 840-nucleotide ribosomal RNA is filed under the name Triticum aestivum (bread wheat). RNAcentral's name for it is "partial small subunit ribosomal RNA". Lineage: Eukaryota; Viridiplantae; Streptophyta; Magnoliopsida; Poales; Poaceae. The record is from RNAcentral.
AUGGCCUUGUGGGAAACGAGUGCGCCACCGAAAGCCAAAAUCCAUAUGUGGUGCUUGGUCAAGAACGGGCUGGCUGUUGGCGCCAAGCUCCAUCGCAGGAGAAUUAAACCAGGAGUUUUUUGUGUGGCAUGUGGUGGAGAGGAAACCAUAUAUCACCGUUUUUGGGCGUGUCAACAUUCCGUCCACUUCUGGAAGAUUCUGCGUGAAGAGAAGGGUGUAUCUGUGGCUCUCCCACCGGCUCCGAUGGACAACCAUGGCGAGUUAUCUCGCUGGCUCCUUCAAUGGCUUGCGACGGCUGAUGGUGACGAGCGUGAGGCGAUGAUACAAGCUACUUAUGGUCUUUGGCUUGCUAGGAAUGCAGCAAGAUAUGGAAAGAGGAUUGACCAACCACAUGAAAUAAUGAAGUUUGUGUGCUCUCAUAUGGCGGAAUGGAGCAGCUUGCAUCAACCAAAGCCGAGGCAAGCAACGAUGGAUCAGCCACAAAAAUGGGAAGCACCUAAAGAUGGAUGGGUUCAGAUCAAUUCCGAUGGUGUUGUUCACAAAGGAGGGAGUAAGGCGGGUGGUGGAGCGGUAAUCCGGGACCACAAUGGGGCUUUUCUGGCCGGAGUAAGCCAUUAUUUUCCCCACAUUGUAGAGCCAGAAGCAGCAGAGAUCUUGGCUUGCAAAAGAGCUUUACAUGUAGCGGAGGAGAUCAAUGUACAGAAUGGCCAUUUGGAGUUGGACUGUUUGCCGGUGGUGCAAAUGAUCAACCAGAAGGACAUCAAUUAUUCGGGAGUUGGGCCAUGGAUUCAGGAAAUAAAACGGAUGCUGGCGUUGAAGAAUGACAUCAGAGUAACGUGA